UCCCAUUUCGAAUUGUGGAAU
This 21-nucleotide non-coding RNA is filed under the name Caenorhabditis elegans. Lineage: Eukaryota; Metazoa; Nematoda; Chromadorea; Rhabditida; Rhabditidae. The record is from RNAcentral.